This 253-nucleotide ribosomal RNA is filed under the name uncultured bacterium. RNAcentral's name for it is "partial 16S ribosomal RNA". It matches the Rfam family "Bacterial small subunit ribosomal RNA", at positions 524 to 776 of the family's 1533-position model. The record is from RNAcentral.
UACGUAGGGUGCAAGCGUUAAUCGGAAUUACUGGGCGUAAAGCGUGCGCAGGCGGUUAUGUAAGACAGAUGUGAAAUCCCCGGGCUCAACCUGGGAACUGCACUUGUGACUGCAUAGCUAGAGUACGGUAGAGGGGGAUGGAAUUCCGCGUGUAGCAGUGAAAUGCGUAGAUAUGCGGAGGAACACCGAUGGCGAAGGCAAUCCCCUGGACCUGUACUGACGCUCAUGCACGAAAGCGUGGGGAGCAAACAGG